Molecule: ribosomal RNA, 396 nt
Filed under: uncultured bacterium
Lineage: Bacteria
Description: partial 16S ribosomal RNA
Rfam family: Bacterial small subunit ribosomal RNA
Source: RNAcentral
GCUGAACGCUGACAGAAUGCUUAACACAUGCAAGUCGGUGGCGGACGGGUGAGUAACGCGAAAGAACUUGCCUCACAGCUAGGGACAACAUUUGGAAACGAAUGCUAAUAGCCUAUGAGAGAGCUUUGCGUCCCAUUAGCUAGUUGGAGAGGUAACGGCUCACCAAGGCGAUGAUGGGUAGCCGGCCUGUGAGGGGGAUCGGCCACAAGGUGACUGAGACACGGCCCGUACUACUACGGGAGGAAGCAGGGGGGAAUUUUGGACAAUGGGCGCAAGCCUGAUCCAGCCAUGCCGCGUGUCUGAAGAAGGCCUUCGGGUUGUAAAGUACUUUUGUUAGGGAAGCGGUACCGAAAGAAGAAGCACCGGCUAACUACGUGCCAGCCGCCGCGGUAAUAC